This 286-nucleotide ribosomal RNA is filed under the name uncultured bacterium. Its description in RNAcentral is "partial 16S ribosomal RNA". It matches the Rfam family "Bacterial small subunit ribosomal RNA", at positions 29 to 341 of the family's 1533-position model. The record is from RNAcentral.
AGCGAACGCUGGCGGCAGGCUUAACACAUGCAAGUCGAGCGGGCACUUCGGUGUCAGCGGCAGACGGGUGAGUAACACGUGGGAACGUGCCCUUCGGUUCGGAAUAACUCAGGGAAACUUGAGCUAAUACCGGAUACGCCCUUUGGGGGAAAGGUUUACUGCCGAAGGAUCGGCCCGCGUCUGAUUAGCUAGUUGGUGGGGUAAUGGCCUACCAAGGCGACGAUCAGUAGCUGGUCUGAGAGGAUGAUCAGCCACACUGGGACUGAGACACGGGCCCAGACUUCCG